RNAcentral lists this ribosomal RNA (433 nucleotides) under uncultured bacterium. Its description in RNAcentral is "partial 16S ribosomal RNA". It matches the Rfam family "Bacterial small subunit ribosomal RNA", at positions 29 to 507 of the family's 1533-position model. The record is from RNAcentral.
AACGAACGCUGGCGGCAGGCCUAACACAUGCAAGUCGAGCGCGCCCUUCGGGGUGAGCGGCGGACGGGUGAGUAACGCGUGGGAACGUGCCCUUUUCUACGGAAUAGCCUCGGGAAACUGAGAGUAAUACCGUAUACGCCCUUUGGGGGAAAGAUUUAUCGGAAAAGGAUCGGCCCGCGUUGGAUUAGGUAGUUGGUGGGGUAAUGGCCUACCAAGCCGUCGAUCCAUAGCUGGUUUGAGAGAAUGAUCAGCCACACUGGGACUGAGACACGGCCCAGACUCCUACGGGAGGCAGCAGUGGGGAAUCUUAGACAAUGGGGGCAACCCUGAUCUAGCCAUGCCGCGUGAGUGAUGAAGGCAGUAGGGUUGUAAAGCUCUUUCAGCUGGGAAGAUAAUGACGGUACCAGCAGAAGAAGCCCCGGCUAACUCCGUG